RNAcentral lists this transfer RNA (69 nucleotides) under Equus caballus (horse). It matches the Rfam family "tRNA". From Rfam's summary of the family: Transfer RNA (tRNA) molecules are approximately 80 nucleotides in length. Their secondary structure includes four short double-helical elements and three loops (D, anti-codon, and T loops). The record is from Rfam by way of RNAcentral. Lineage: Eukaryota; Metazoa; Chordata; Mammalia; Perissodactyla; Equidae.
GUUGAUGUAGCUUAAUUCAAAGCAAGCCACUGAAAAUGCAUAGAUGGGUGCUUCAAACCUCCAUAAACA